RNAcentral lists this long non-coding RNA (1236 nucleotides) under Gossypium barbadense (sea-island cotton). RNAcentral's name for it is "long non-coding RNA (GBAR_LNC011944)". The record is from RNAcentral. Lineage: Eukaryota; Viridiplantae; Streptophyta; Magnoliopsida; Malvales; Malvaceae.
AUCUGCACAGUGACUGCACGACUUAAUAUAAAAACCAUUCUACUCCCUACUUUUUAUCCACCUUUACUUCUUCCACAAGUAUUAGGGGCCUAAUUACAGUUAAUGGUACUCAUACCAGCUAAAAUGAGAUGCUUAGUAUGCAUUUUGAUGCACCCAAAGCUUAUAACAGGAUUGCUUCAUGUAAAACUCAGUUUGACUUUCUAGGUAAUCAUUUAUAUUUUUAAAGAAAAAGAUAUUGCGAAAACACAGGAUUCAUACUAUGUCAAUAAGCAAAUCAGUUGGCCCGAAAUUGUUUGAAACAACUUGACCAGCAAGAAACAGAUUGAUGACUGUAGCUUCAGUCUGUGACAGAUAAAUAAAUUGAUACAAAGUAAAUGCAAAUUUACCUGUAGCUUCAGUCUGUGACAACCAAAUGCUAAACCCUGAAUAAAGAUGUCUCCAUUUAUCGGUCCUUCCUGCAGCCCCAUGAGACCCUCCUAAGGUUGCAACAACAGCCCGGACAUGACUGCCAGGACAAGCAAGCCAAGGUGAUGCCUUUUUACAUGUUUUUAAUAAUAACUGAGACAUACACCUUACCAACUUAAGCUUUCUAAUAUUGCACUUUCUGCUUCAGCCACAGAGUCAGAGCCUUUAGCGAGCACCCCUGCGACAGAUCAAACUAAUUAAUAGCUGCAAGCUGGUUACGACAUAGCACAAUGAGUUUCUAGAAAACUGUAUAUUGAAAUAUCAUUUCAUGAAAUAAUAGUAAAUCUCAUUUUUCUUUGAGAAGUAUAACUUCAAAGUAGUAAUUAGCGAAGAUAUCUAUAAUCAGUGGCUAACAUGAUCGCGUAUGAAUUACAUAGCUAAAUUGUGGGAAAAGGUGCGCAAGCUCUGACAUAAGGAUUUGUACUGCCAUACUGUACAAGACAAGAUGAAGAAUGGCAACUACCUUUCUCAUCAGUGAUUUAACGAAUCCACUCAACAUGUGCAUGGAGAUUAGAUGUAAAUAUGAGUGACAUACUUAUAGACUUGUGGUGCUUCUAAAGAAAAUUUUAUCGACUUUUAGAACUACAGAUACAGAAAGACGGAGAGGAAAACCAGGGAGGCAUAUCCAUAUCCAUGAAUGUGUAUCAUUUAUGUAACCAUGCAUGAGUGAUGGAAUUGAGGUCCAGUCAUGUGCAUAUCCUUGGGACUAAGGAGCUAGGGUUAAUGAUUAAGCAUCCCACAUUUAGUGAAACAGAAAGAUGUAACUCACAU